RNAcentral lists this ribosomal RNA (763 nucleotides) under uncultured Bacilli bacterium. RNAcentral describes it as "bacterial SSU rRNA". It matches the Rfam family "Bacterial small subunit ribosomal RNA", at positions 40 to 774 of the family's 1533-position model. Lineage: Bacteria; Bacillati; Bacillota; Bacilli. The record is from RNAcentral.
CGGCGUGCCUAAUACAUGCAAGUCGAACGCUUCUUUCCUCCCGAGUGCUUGCACUCAAUUGGAAAGAGGAGUGGCGGAUGGGUGAGUAACACGUGGGUAACCUACCCAUCAGAGGGGGAUAACACUUGGAAACAGGUGCUAAUACCGCAUAACAGUUUAUGUCGCAUGGCAUAAGAGUGAAAGGCGCUUUCGGGUGUCGCUGAUGGAUGGACCCGCGGUGCAUUAGCUAGUUGGUGAGGUAACGGCUCACCAAGGCCACGAUGCAUAGCCGACCUGAGAGGGUGAUCGGCCACACUGGGACUGAGACACGGCCCAGACUCCUACGGGAGGCAGCAGUAGGGAAUCUUCGGCAAUGGACGAAAGUCUGACCGAGCAACGCCGCGUGAGUGAAGAAGGUUUUCGGAUCGUAAAACUCUGUUGUUAGAGAAGAACAAGGACGUUAGUAACUGAACGUCCCCUGACGGUAUCUAACCAGAAAGCCACGGCUAACUACGUGCCAGCAGCCGCGGUAAUACGUAGGUGGCAAGCGUUGUCCGGAUUUAUUGGGCGUAAAGCGAGCGCAGGCGGUUUCUUAAGUCUGAUGUGAAAGCCCCCGGCUCAACCGGGGAGGGUCAUUGGAAACUGGGAGACUUGAGUGCAGAAGAGGAGAGUGGAAUUCCAUGUGUAGCGGUGAAAUGCGUAGAUAUAUGGAGGAACACCAGUGGCGAAGGCGGCUCUCUGGUCUGUAACUGACGCUGAGGCUCGAAAGCGUGGGGAGCAAACA